GUGAAUUAAACUUAUUUUAACAAUCACGAAGCGUUCGGGAAUCAUUUCAAGCAGUUUCUUCUUCUCUUUGAUGAUGGAAAAUAGGUUUUCUCAAGAAAAUACCGCAAACGAUCGCAGAGGAAUUGAAACGUACAAGUCAAGUCGGCACCUGGUUAAAUUGGCAUCUAGUCAAAUCGGCACCUAUUUGACGUCAAUUCGGCUUCCAAUAAUAUUUAUUAUAAUAUUUUCUAUUCAAUUAAUUAAUAACUGUUACCAAGUACAUAGUGAAUAUUAGGUAAACAACGAGACCAAAGUGAAUAUGUUGUUGUGUAUAAAAGUAAACAACGAAGCUAUUGUUUUAACCAUUAGACAAUUAUUAAAAUUAAAUGGAAAACUAUGAGUCCCUUUCAAUAAAUCAAACUUUCAUGCCAAAUAAUUAGCAAAUUUAAGGUGGGUUUUUUUUCAGUAAUGUUUAAACAGCAUUAAACAAACAAUCCUGUAAAAGACUCAACUGGUUAAAUAAUGCAUAAAAAAAAAUAUCCAAUAAGGCUAUUUUAUUUUUUUUCUGGGACGCCUUCCUAAGACGUUCGUAGGAAGGCUUCCUAAGAAGGCGUCC
This 595-nucleotide long non-coding RNA is filed under the name Mytilus galloprovincialis (Mediterranean mussel). The record is from RNAcentral. Lineage: Eukaryota; Metazoa; Mollusca; Bivalvia; Mytilida; Mytilidae.